RNAcentral lists this ribosomal RNA (498 nucleotides) under uncultured bacterium. RNAcentral describes it as "partial 16S ribosomal RNA". It matches the Rfam family "Bacterial small subunit ribosomal RNA", at positions 30 to 523 of the family's 1533-position model. The record is from RNAcentral.
AUUGAACGCUGGCGGCAUGCCUUACACAUGCAAGUCGAACGGCAGCACGGGGCAACCUGGUGGCGAGUGGCGAACGGGUGAGUAAUGCAUCGGAACGUACCUUUCAGUGGGGGAUAACGUAGCGAAAGUUACGCUAAUACCGCAUACGCACUGAGGUGGAAAGCAGGGGAUCGCAAGACCUUGCGCUAUACGAGCGGCCGAUGUCAGAUUAGCUAGUUGGUAGGGUAAAGGCCUACCAAGGCGACGAUCUGUAGCGGGUCUGAGAGGAUGAUCCGCCACACUGGGACUGAGACACGGCCCAGACUCCUACGGGAGGCAGCAGUGGGGAAUUUUGGACAAUGGGCGAAAGCCUGAUCCAGCCAUGCCGCGUGAGUGAAGAAGGCCUUCGGGUUGUAAAGCUCUUUCGGCUGGGAAGAAAUCGCACAGGCUAAUACUCUGUGUGGAUGACGGUACCAGCACAAGAAGCACCGGCUAACUACGUGCCAGCAGCCGCCGCGG